This is a long non-coding RNA of Gavialis gangeticus (Gharial), 516 nucleotides long. RefSeq lists it as uncharacterized. The transcript is spliced from 3 exons. NCBI's taxonomy places the organism in Eukaryota, Metazoa, Chordata, Crocodylia, Gavialidae. The record is from RefSeq and is a predicted model, not a curated record.
CUACCCUGGGGCUACAGUAGCCUGAUGGUUGUCUUGCACCUGGGUUGAGACAGAGGUGCAAUUUGACAGCUGCUACCAUGACUGUGCAGUCCUCUUCAGGAUCCCUGCUCCUCCUGCACGGGGAGAGGCCUAGAAAAGGUGCCCUAACCCUAGGCUGCCUUAUCUGCUCUUGCCUGGGGAACCGCAUGCAGUGGGAUCAUUCUCUCUGCAGUCAAAAGCAUCACAAGACGACAAUGUUUUGGCAGCGUGGAGCGUUCUAUCAAAGUAGCUGUAAUUUACUAAACAGAUGAAAUUAAUAAACCUGCUAAAAUACAUUGUAAAGUAUCCCAAAACACACUUGGAGUAGAAGCUGUUUGUGCAUUUGUAUGUAGUAGCAUGGCACCAAAAAACGUUUUGUAGAACAAAAAAGCAUGCUAGAUGCUUUGGAGAAAGGCAAAAGACCUAGCAGCAAAGAGCUUACAACCUAAUGCCCACUUUUGUAUCGGUGUACACAGAAGUCAACUGAGAUCAGUCAAG